This 494-nucleotide ribosomal RNA is filed under the name Aphelenchoides blastophthorus. RNAcentral's name for it is "SSU rRNA". It matches the Rfam family "Eukaryotic small subunit ribosomal RNA", at positions 88 to 590 of the family's 1831-position model. Lineage: Eukaryota; Metazoa; Nematoda; Chromadorea; Rhabditida; Aphelenchoididae. The record is from RNAcentral.
UGCGAACGGCUCAUUACAACAGAUAUACUUUACUUGUUCUAUUCCUUUAAACGGAUAACUGCGGUAAUUCUGGAGCCAAUACGUGCUAAAAGACGCAUUCAGCAAUGAGUGUGUUGCAUUUAUCGGAGCAAAACCCUUCCUGGUUUUAUGCUAACUCUGGAUAACACUGCUUAUCGCAUGACCUUGUGUCGGCGAAGUUACAUUCAAGUAUCUGCCUUAUCAACUUUCGAUGGUAGUGUAUUGGACUGCCAUGGUGUUGACGGGUAACGGAGAAUCAGGGUUCGACUCCGGAGAGGGAGCCUUAGAAACGGCUACCAUGUCUAAGGACAGCAGCAGGCGCGCAACUUAUCCACUGUUCAUUGAACGAGAUAGUGACGAGAAAUAACAAGUUCGUUCUCUAUGAGGUCGAGCAUUGGAAUGGAUGAAAUCUAAACAGUUUCAUGAGUACCCACGAGAGGGCAAGUCUGGUGCCAGCAGCCGCGGUAAUUCCAGCU